AGGAGCGUGUGCGGGAACCUCGCAGCCACCGGCCGGGCACCCAGCCUGCUCACUCGGCAGGACAGACCUGGCGUUCUUGUCCCAGCCGGGUCCUCAGCACUCAUUCUUUCGCCCCCUCUGCCAAGCCCCCCUUCUUGGAACCCGGGCCCGCGGCCCCACAGCUAUACAGCUUUACACAAAGGGGGUACCACACGGCAGUUUCCAAACCCCCGGCUCCUUCCAAUCUCUGUGUCUUCUCUCUCUCUCUCUCUCUCUGCUUCACCUCUUCUGGGUAAUUAAAUGGAAAGAGCCUAGAAACCCCCUUCUAAUCAAUAAUUCAAAAUGUUGGUCUCCAGUGACAUUUUUUCUCAUUACAGUUCUCCGGGUCAGGCAUUCAUGAAUUCUCCAGGAUGGAGGUCCCCGCUGGGAUCUGGAAGUACAAUUAACACCGUCUUUGGCUAGAAGUGACCAGGUGAACGUGUCGGCCGGUGAGGUGCAAACAGAAGUCUACUGUGUGAGGCCUCAGGGAAAACGAAGCCCACUCAGCCGGCCUAUGCCUGUGCCCAGCCUGGAAUGUGAAAGUGAUGGCUGGAAGAGGAGCAGCCAUUUUGCAACCAUGAGGAUAAAACUCACACAUUAAGAAUGACACAGCAGAGAGCCAAAAAACGAACAAAACCCCAGACACAGCUGUGCUGGUCCUGAAUAGACUUCUUCAGGAUUCCUGUCAUUUGUGAAAAACGAAUUCCGUUGUAGUUAAGCCA
Molecule: long non-coding RNA, 740 nt
Organism: Herpailurus yagouaroundi (jaguarundi)
Lineage: Eukaryota; Metazoa; Chordata; Mammalia; Carnivora; Felidae
Exons: 2
Source: RefSeq, a predicted model, not a curated record